AGAGGUGCAGCUCAGUGUUAGAGCACAUGCAUUGCACGCAUAAGGCCCUGAGUUCAAUCCUCAACACCACAA
RNAcentral lists this transfer RNA (72 nucleotides) under Heterocephalus glaber (naked mole-rat). It matches the Rfam family "tRNA". From Rfam's summary of the family: Transfer RNA (tRNA) molecules are approximately 80 nucleotides in length. Lineage: Eukaryota; Metazoa; Chordata; Mammalia; Rodentia; Bathyergidae. The record is from Rfam by way of RNAcentral.